ACACACGCACAAGCCACACGCUGGGAACCUGCCACGACGGCCGGGGAAAAAACCGGCCGGGUGAGGAGGCGCAAGGCGGCCCCCUGUCAUCUGAGGACAACAACACGCCCCGAAGAGAAGUGGCAGGAGGCAGGGGGAGUUGCCCCGAAAACAAGCCCGGAGCCUCCCCGCUUUCCCGGGAACGCAAGCUCCUCCAGGGCCGCCAACGGUCGGGCCGCAGGACUGGGCGCCGGGUCCCGGGUGGGGGCGCACCCAGCGAGGCGCCCCCCGCAGGCCGGGCGCCCCGGAGCCCGCGGCCCGCCCGGCCCCGCCGGGCCCCUGGCUCCGCAGCCGCCGUUGUCGCCAGACCCGACGAGCCGAGCGCCGAGCGGCCGCCCCCAUCCGGCGGCCCCGCCCCGCGGGAAGCAUUCAGCAGCCCCGCGCCAUGACACCUACUGAGGCGGAAGUGUCGAAGAGCGGGCGGAUUAGGACGACCACAUAGCACAGAUGUGAGUGGGAGUAGGGGGGCCUCCGUGGGGAGCCAGCGUGGAUCGAGUGCGGGGGCCGGACUUCCCGCCCCCUCCGCGCGACAGACUCCGCGGUGAUUUAAAGAGACGUUCUAGCAGAGUGGCAUCCGGGUACGGGAUCUGGAAGCCUCCACGUACAUGAAGAGCCACUUAGGAGACUCUCCCGCUGCCCGCCAUAGGAAAACUGUGUUUGCAUUAGGAGGUUUACCAUUCUUUGGAGCAUGGGAUGCUUUGUAUCUGGCCAGAAGAAAACAAAGGGAAGAGAAAAAAAUGCAGAUUAUUUGUGUGGGAAGUUUUUAUCGGCCAGGCCUGCAGGUAGCAAACACAUAAAUCUGUUCUGCACAUAUGACAUUGGUGGGAACUCAGGAACAUGGAUACUGCUACAGUGAUUAGAAGAUGAUAUAAUCUAUCUGUGUGCCCAAGGGGAAGAGAGACAUGACUUAGUAAAAAUUAGGCCAGUCUCUACCACACUUGUUCAAAAGCCAUUCCCCUAUGUUACUUCUUUCAUAUAAACGGAAUCCCAGUUUUGUUCAGAUAGAAGGAAGAUCCUUUGAUUUCAAAGAAGGUAACUUCCUCUAACCAAAUCAGGAGAUAAAUCACAGUGGUCCAAACCAAUCCUGGUAAUUCCAUUUCUCAUCACCAAUGACCAGUCUAAGAGGGGGUAUAGACUCAGUUCUGAUCAAUGAAAUAGGAAAGGAAGUCUAAUGGGAGGCUCCUAGGAAAAUUUUUCUUUUUCUAUAAAAAAGACAGGACCUUCACAGAAGAAACUCUUUUGUUCUUGCCUCUCUUUUUGCUGAGACAAAGGAAUGAAGACACCAGGCUUGGAGCUGCCAUAGCCAUCCUGUGACCAUAAAUGUGACAGCAAAGAAAGAUGAAGACAGUCAACAUACUGAGGACAGCAAAGGAGACGGAUAGAAAGAAUGGGUCCUUGAUGACAGAAGUAAGCUUCUGAAUGAACCUGGGACUGCCCACUGCUUCUGGACUUUUUAAGUAAAUAAAUGUCUGUAUGUUUCAAGAAUACUGUUAGACAAGUUUUCUGUUUUUUGCUGCCAAAAAUCAUUCUUAAGUGACACAGGAGAGAAAUAGAAGAGAUUUUCUAGAAAAAGGAGCUAAUUGGUGGUAUCCAAAUGCUCUGAGAAGUAAAGGAGAAUAAGGAUGGAAGAGUGGCCAGUGGAUUUGCCAUGAGAAGGUCCCUGUUGAUCUUGGGGCUUCACGAUCUAAUUAAGGAAAUAAAUUAGGAACAAUUCUAACAAGUCCAAGACUGGUCCUCAAAGUGGCAUUACAAGUGCUCAGGAAGAUAGCAGUUAACUGUCUGGAGAUUGCUGCAGAAGCAUCUGGAAGUAUCACUAUUGACUGAACAGGGACUUAAAGAAGACGGCGCUAUUUCAGCCAGGCCAUCAAUGAGAUAUCAUUUGUUUUUAGUAACUAUUUACCUUCUUCAUGCAAAAUGUGAACAGAAUAAAUACGCCAUUAUAUUACCAUAUAUAAUGGACACAAGCUCUUCAGUACAAGUACUCCUUGGGAAGGAGUUAUCAGUCUGCACUAGGCCACCAGAGAGCCAUGGGGUUAGAAACUAAAACCAGACAGAGGUGAGUGUGGUAUACAGAGCAGAGAAGUAAAGCACCCACCUGUGUUAGGAUAAUCAGGUGAGUGAGUCCCUCUUGUGUUUGGUAAGAAGUCUUGGUCCCCUCAUGGCUCCCACACUUCUCAUCUUCCCUAGCAUCUCCCCACUAAAGCGGGAAUGGUUGCUGGGCUGAACAGUGGGAUUGCAAAUAGGAACUACUUCUCUAUUCUCAGGUGUAAGUCUUGCUGGUCUUGAUUUUUUUUUGUAUCAAAAUAAGACAUUUUGGGGACUAGGUCCCAGCAGAAAUGAUGGCUUCGGGUGGAAGGGGAGUUUGGAAGAAGCCAUGGCUGUGGGAUUAAAGAGAAAGAGUCAAAUACAACUAGUUAACAUUAUGAAUGCACGAAAUACCACUGAAUUGUACACUUUAAAAUGGUUAAUUGUGUGUUGUGUGAAUUUCACUUCAAAAAAAGGGGAGGGGAGAGAGUCUUGCAGGAUUUAGAGAUAAUAGGCAAGAGACUUGAUCCCUAAUUUUCCUAAUUUUCAAGAGUCAACCCAGAGCCUUCUGGGAGAAGAGCAAUGCCUUAAAUACUCUUACAACUGUGUUUAUUCCUCCUCAGACCCUCCUUCCCCCUAAUCAUUUUGUUUCCUCCCUUAUCUACACAUGACCAUCUCACUCACUCUCACUUUCUCCAUAUACCAGCUCUUUAUUCAGCAAAACCAUGGGAUAGUGCUUUCCUCUCCCUUUCCCUGGGUCAUCGUCAUGUUUCAUCACCGUGCCUCCACCAUUCUGUAGCUUCUCACCUUCGACCAAAUGUUACAGAAGAUUUUAGUACCUGCCCUCCAUAUGUCUUUCCCUAUUCUCAAUUCUAAGCAAAGGCCAAAACCGAAACAAAUGCUCUGGGAAGGGACACAGAGACCCACAAGGGAGAGGGCUGUGAAUCAAGACAGGAACUCGAAAUUUAAUCAUUGACUGUUAUUUGUGCUAAGUCAUUUUACACUUCCUGCAGACUCAGAAAUCAAAAAGGCCCUAAUGAAGUCUCCCUUGCCUAACACAAUUCCUGAUAUGUGGUCAGUACCAAUAACUAUUUGGCUGAGUAAAUUACUGAGUGUUUAUUCAUGGUGCUCUAAGUAUCAGAAUUCAGUUAACUAUAGAGUAGAGUUUUGGAAAUCUCAAUAAUCUUCACCUUUGGCUGUGAAUUUAACUUAAUGUUUUUAUUAUUACUUUUGGAAACUCACUUUUAUACAAUCUGUUAGCUGACAGCAAGGGGUUAGCAAGUGGCUCUCUCCUUUGGAGGUGGGUAGGAGGAGGGGCCCUAUCGAAACCCUAGAGGGUAAAUUCUCGGAGGUGAAAUAGGCUUCUGCCUGACCAGUCUCAGUGCUCCCAGAAUGUCCGGUACAGAAGUAAAACGUGAGCUUUGGAGUCUUGACAUCAUUAGGAAUCCUGAGGCUUCUAGUAACUAGUAACUAGGCAUGCUUAUGAACCUCACCUUCCUCAUACUUCUUAUUUUUAAAAAAAGAUUUUCUUUAUUUAUUUGAGGCGGGGAGUGGCAGAGGGGCAGAGGGAGAGGGACAAGCAGACUCCCUGCUAAGCGCAGAGCUUGAUCCCAAAACCUGAGAUCAUGACCUGAGCCGAAAUCUAGAAAUCUAGAGCAGGACCCUUGACUGAUUAUGCCCCCUAGCACCCCACACUUCCUCAUUCUUAAAAUGGAAGUGAUAAUACCUUCUUCUUACCUCCCUUAUUCCGUCUAUCAGGAAAAGUCUCCAAUGUUACUUCCAAAAAAUAUCCUGAAUCCACUACUAUUCAAUCUCCA
Ailuropoda melanoleuca (giant panda) is the source of this 3881-nucleotide long non-coding RNA. RefSeq lists it as uncharacterized. NCBI's taxonomy places the organism in Eukaryota, Metazoa, Chordata, Mammalia, Carnivora, Ursidae. The transcript has 4 exons. The record is from RefSeq and is a predicted model, not a curated record.